GAUGAACGCUGGCGGCGUGCCUAAUACAUGCAAGUCGAGCGAAUGGAUUAAGAGCUUGCUCUUAUGAAGUUAGCGGCGGACGGGUGAGUAACACGUGGGUAACCUGCCCAUAAGACUGGGAUAACUCCGGGAAACCGGGGCUAAUACCGGAUAACAUUUUGAACCGCAUGGUUCGAAAUUGAAAGGCGGCUUCGGCUGUCACUUAUGGAUGGACCCGCGUCGCAUUAGCUAGUUGGUGAGGUAACGGCUCACCAAGGCAACGAUGCGUAGCCGACCUGAGAGGUUGAUCGGCCACACGGGGACUGGGACACGGCCCAGACUCCUACGGGAGGCAGCAGUAGGGAAUCUUCCGCAAUGGACGAAAGUCUGACGGAGCAACGCCGCGUGGGUGAUGAAGGCUUUCGGGUCGUAAAACUCUGUUGUUAGGGAAGAACAAGUGCUAGUUGAAUAAGCUGGCACCUUGACGGUGCCUAACCAGAAAGCCACGGCUAACUACGUGCCAGCAGCCGCCGUAA
RNAcentral lists this ribosomal RNA (515 nucleotides) under uncultured bacterium. RNAcentral's name for it is "partial 16S ribosomal RNA". It matches the Rfam family "Bacterial small subunit ribosomal RNA", at positions 28 to 523 of the family's 1533-position model. The record is from RNAcentral.